GACGAACGCUGGCGGCGUGCUUAACACAUGCAAGUCGAACGGAAAGGCCCUGCUUUUGUGGGGUGCUCGAGUGGCGAACGGGUGAGUAACACGUGAGUAACCUGCCCUUGACUUUGGGAUAACUUCAGGAAACUGGGGCUAAUACCGGAUAGGAGCUCCUGCUGCAUGGUGGGGGUUGGAAAGUUUCGGCGGUUGGGGAUGGACUCGCGGCUUAUCAGCUUGUUGGUGGGGUAGUGGCUUACCAAGGCUUUGACGGGUAGCCGGCCUGAGAGGGUGACCGGCCACAUUGGGACUGAGAUACGGCCCAGGCUCCUACGGGAGGCAGCAGUGGGGAAUAUUGCACAAUGGGCGGAAGCCUGAUGCAGCAACGCCGCGUGCGGGAUGACGGCCUUCGGGUUGUAAACCGCUUUCGCCUGUGACGAAGCGUGAGUGACGGUACUGGGUAAAGAAGCACCGGCUAACUACGUG
Molecule: ribosomal RNA, 468 nt
Filed under: uncultured bacterium
Lineage: Bacteria
Description: partial 16S ribosomal RNA
Rfam family: Bacterial small subunit ribosomal RNA
Source: RNAcentral